This is a long non-coding RNA of Vidua macroura (Pin-tailed whydah), 1043 nucleotides long. RefSeq lists it as uncharacterized. Lineage: Eukaryota; Metazoa; Chordata; Aves; Passeriformes; Viduidae. The transcript has 5 exons. The record is from RefSeq and is a predicted model, not a curated record.
GGGAUCCAUGUAGCAGGCUGGAUUACAUCUCUGCUCUGAAGACCACAUCUCCAAAGUGGUUUAGAAAUGGAAUUUGACCAUUUUUUACCUACAGAGGGCAGACCAAUUUUUGAUGGCUAAAUGUGGGAAACACAGUAAAGAAACAUAACUGAGGGAUUCACUGUAAAGGGGAAAAAAGAUGCAAAUUAAUCUGUGCAAAAAGCCCAUCAGCACCAUCUGCAGUUGGUUCCUGCCUGAUUGUUCAUCACUACAGCUUACACACUAUAACUGGAUGCCCUUACUUGAACCCUCAGAAGGUUCUCGAUUCAACUGCUGAAGUGCUGCAGGUAACCUCCAAUCAUUGGGCAUUUAAAUAAAGAAAACAAGCAUCAUCAUCCCUUCUGUCUUACUAUGAGCUCAGAGAUCCUCUGCUUCAAUAGAUGGCCAGUCAGGGUGAGCGAGCACUCUCAGACCAGAACUGGAAGAGCUUUCCUUCUGCCAGGACUUUAGUGAAUAACUGCUGCAAAUGGAAGGAGAACAUGCAAUCAUCUGAGAACAAACAAUUUUUUAAAAAUGCAGUGAAAAAUAUCUUUAAUAUUCAGCACAACUUAAUGAAUUGAAGACACUUUCCUACUCAGUCCCUACCAAGUUGGAACAUUUUUUCUGUGCAGCUAAAUUAAAGUCCUUUGUUCUCUUUAGAAAGCUGUUGCAUAGAAUGACAUGACAACAUCAGUAUGAAUUACACUGGCUUUUGUUAUAAUAUGGCUGUCAUACACGAAGGUCUUAGUUAUAGUGGCAUUUAACAAGAUAAAUUUACUCUCUAUAGAAAGAAUUUUGGCUAAAUGAUAUUCAGCAAGGAAGAACUCACAACUGAUGCCCCUUUUAAUUAAAAGACAAAAUGUUCUCAGAUCAGGCUGGUCUUAAUGUGGCUGUGUCAUUACAGAAAAAUAGUCUGGCUAUUAUUUAGGUGACUCAUCAAAAUGUUUUCUUAAUAUUUACUUUUGUUUCUGGAAAUUUUUAAGGAAAAAGUGUUUUCAGAACAUUCAAUAAAUUUGUUUAAUAGA